Non-coding RNA from Lasallia pustulata, 73 nucleotides. The record is from Rfam. Lineage: Eukaryota; Fungi; Ascomycota; Lecanoromycetes; Umbilicariales; Umbilicariaceae.
GAGUCAGUAAUCUUAAUGGUAAAGUGUUUCCUUGUCGAGGAAAAGGAUGCCAGUUCAAAUCUGGCCUGAUUCG